This 273-nucleotide ribosomal RNA is filed under the name uncultured bacterium. RNAcentral's name for it is "partial 16S ribosomal RNA". It matches the Rfam family "Bacterial small subunit ribosomal RNA", at positions 523 to 796 of the family's 1533-position model. The record is from RNAcentral.
AUACGGAGGGUGCAAGCGUUACUCGGAAUCACUGGGCGUAAAGCGCGCGCAGGCGGCUAUUUAAGUUGGAUGUGAAAGCCUACGGCUCAACCGUAGAACUGCAUCCAAAACUAUUUAGCCAGAGUGUGGGAGAGGAAGAUGGAAUUAGUUGUGUAGGGGUAAAUCCGUAGAGAUAACUAGGAAUACCAAAAGCGAAGGCAAUCUUCUGGAACACUACUGACGCUGAGGCGCGAAAGCGUGGGGAGCAAACGGGAUUAGAUACCCCCGUAGUCC